UUUAAUCAUGCUAUUAAUUAAUUCCAAACAGAUAAUGCAUAAGAUUACUCGACUUCAAAAAAAAAAAAAAAAAGAUUACUCGACUUCUGGAAUGACACAAGGCAUGGAAUAGUAAGCUAUGUUACGGUGAGACUCUCUUCUUCCUGGAUCUUGUGGAUCUGUUAUAUCAGAAGGUCAGUAGCAGUGCUAUUUCUAUUGGAGAAUUUUCAUUUAAACAGAUUAACAUAUUUGAAAAAUUUCUUUCAAUAAUGACACAAAACAUAAAUAUAAAAAUCUGUAUUUAUUAUAGGUAGCAUAAAACAUUUUUUUGCGUCAAUUAUUGUUGUGAUUUAGGCUGAAUAAUGCCAGCUAUUUUGCUACUGUGCUGAAGUCCUCUUUUUUGAGCCUACAAUGAACCUGUAAUACUUAUGGAAAGAGUUACCAUAGCAACCUAUAUUGAUGUCACAAGCUCAGGCUUCUGACUUCAUUGCAUAAUGCAGUAGCAACUGGAUUUGCAGCAGAAACACCCUGCUAAAGAACAAGUAUCUUGGUUCACAGCAAAGAGGACAAAGGAAAACAGCAAGUUAUAGGGAGUUGAAUGCUGGAUUUGAAUCCAGGAGCUGGCCUGCUGUUUCAACAAGGUAGCCAUUUCUAAGCAAUAAAAAACCCCAAAAACCCAGAAGACAAAAAUACCCCUCCACAAACAUAAAGAAAUACUGUGGUAUUAUGGUCAUCAGAGCCUGUGUGGCACUGCCCACAAGUCCUUGGUGGGUUCUGGAGCUGUCCAAGGUUCCAAAGUUCCAGGGAGGGAGCCUGCAGCAGUCAGAGGGCUCUGGGCUCUGCUUCAACUCAGUACUGUGAGGAGCAUAAGGACAUCAUGACAUCUGGACUAACAUCCUACAGAAUUGUAGAGAAGGUCAAAUAUAAAACACAAGCAACUAUAUAUGAAAAGUGUUAUGUUUUUAUCUCCCCAAUGCUUGGAUUUUUAUUUAACAUUACAAAUAUUUUCUGAGGGAUGCGUGGGUGGCUCAGUGGUUGAGCAUCUGCCUUCAGCUCAGAGCAUGAUCCUGUGAUCCCAGGAACAAGUCCCACAUCAGGCUCCCUGCAUAGAGCCUGCUUCUCCCUCUGCCUCUGCCUCUCUCUGUGUGUCUCAUAAAUAAAUAAAUAAAUAAAAUAUUAAAAAAAAAAAAACAAAUAUUUUCUGAACAGAUCUACCAACCUAGAAAAUGUUAGUGAUCAAGAACUCUUUAAAGAAUACUGACUGUUUCAUUUAAUAUACCAAAAACUAAAAACACAAUCAUC
Molecule: long non-coding RNA, 1281 nt
Filed under: Canis lupus familiaris (dog)
Lineage: Eukaryota; Metazoa; Chordata; Mammalia; Carnivora; Canidae
Description: lncRNA (ENSCAFG00000052012.1)
Source: RNAcentral